RNAcentral lists this ribosomal RNA (743 nucleotides) under Xanthomonas vesicatoria. RNAcentral describes it as "bacterial SSU rRNA". It matches the Rfam family "Bacterial small subunit ribosomal RNA", at positions 8 to 738 of the family's 1533-position model. The record is from RNAcentral. Lineage: Bacteria; Pseudomonadati; Pseudomonadota; Gammaproteobacteria; Lysobacterales; Lysobacteraceae.
AGAGUUUGAUCCUGGCUCAGAGUGAACGCUGGCGGCAGGCCUAACACAUGCAAGUCGAACGGCAGCACAGUAAGAGCUUGCUCUUAUGGGUGGCGAGUGGCGGACGGGUGAGGAAUACAUCGGAAUCUACUCUUUCGUGGGGGAUAACGUAGGGAAACUUACGCUAAUACCGCAUACGACCUACGGGUGAAAGCGGAGGACCUUCGGGCUUCGCGCGAUUGAAUGAGCCGAUGUCGGAUUAGCUAGUUGGCGGGGUAAAGGCCCACCAAGGCGACGAUCCGUAGCUGGUCUGAGAGGAUGAUCAGCCACACUGGAACUGAGACACGGUCCAGACUCCUACGGGAGGCAGCAGUGGGGAAUAUUGGACAAUGGGCGCAAGCCUGAUCCAGCCAUGCCGCGUGGGUGAAGAAGGCCUUCGGGUUGUAAAGCCCUUUUGUUGGGAAAGAAAAGCAGUCGGUUAAUACCCGAUUGUUCUGACGGUACCCAAAGAAUAAGCACCGGCUAACUUCGUGCCAGCAGCCGCGGUAAUACGAAGGGUGCAAGCGUUACUCGGAAUUACUGGGCGUAAAGCGUGCGUAGGUGGUGGUUUAAGUCUGUUGUGAAAGCCCUGGGCUCAACCUGGGAAUUGCAGUGGAUACUGGGUCACUAGAGUGUGGUAGAGGGUAGCGGAAUUCCCGGUGUAGCAGUGAAAUGCGUAGAGAUCGGGAGGAACAUCCGUGGCGAAGGCGGCUNCCNNGACCAAC